This is a long non-coding RNA of Hemicordylus capensis (graceful crag lizard), 908 nucleotides long. RefSeq lists it as uncharacterized. NCBI's taxonomy places the organism in Eukaryota, Metazoa, Chordata, Lepidosauria, Squamata, Cordylidae. The record is from RefSeq and is a predicted model, not a curated record. The transcript has 2 exons.
AAUAAAACACGGAGUGCAUUUGUGCAUUUCCAAGUUAUUGAUCGACAGUAGCACAGUGAGAAGAAAGGAAUGUCUGAGCUGUUGAUUGGAUUACAGUUAAAUCUCCUAAGGGCUGAGGGUUUGCAACAUGUUUAAACAACUACCUCCUGGCCCUAAUACAUAAUAUUAUUUUGCCUGUUUUCUGUGUCUCUUUGUGUGCAACCAUCACAGAUAAACAUCCUGAUCUUCUAGAAAGUACAAAAAAAUUCUGAAAGCUCACACAGUUGAUAAACCCUCAGGGAACUAAGGCGCACUGUCAGCUAUUAGAAGUAAUUAGCUUGCAGCCAUCUGUAGCUGUAAUACAUUUGUGAAUGGUAGCCUCUGGUGAUCAUUAGACUGUUAAAGGAAGUGUUCUGUCCCUUAGAGUGUACUAAGAAGACCAUAUCCAUGGUAUUCAAUUUCCCAGGAGCAAGACACAAGCUUGAUUUGAUUUGCUUGACUACAAGACUCUGCAUCUGCUGUGUUUUAAUUCUCAAAUUACUUUCUUCAUAUGUGAUAAUUAUUCACAGGAUAAUUCCCAAGUGUGUGACUUGCAUGCAGACCAUACAAGUUCCCUUCACAACUUUCCCCUUCAAAUGUGACAGUGCCCCAGAGUCUAUUUCAAAGAAUUUGGAGACCGAGAGACCCAUCACUGACUGAGGAAGCAUUCAAAACCUUGCAUUAGCACUCCAAGGCUCAGUCAUUUGUCUCUUCCAGGAUUCAGAACUGUGUCAUCACCCAUUGAGUUUCUUCAUAUUGUUCAGCUUUUGUCUGUUUCAGCAUUUUGUAUUUUGUGUUAUCACCUAUUGGGAUAUUUGUACACUGUAUGCUUACUCCUCACUUAUAUGUAUAUAGUCUUACCAUUGAUAUUAUAAUAUAUUGACUAGGUA